UAGGGAAUCUUCGGCAAUGGGGGGAACCCUGACCGAGCAACGCCGCGUGAGUGAAGAAGGUUUUCGGAUCGUAAAGCUCUGUUGUUAAGGAAGAACGAGUGUGAGAAUGGAAAGUUCAUGCUGUGACGGUACUUAACCAGAAAGGGACGGCUAACUACGUGCCAGCAGCCGCGGUAAUACGUAGGUCCCGAGCGUUGUCCGGAAUUAUUGGGCGUAAAGCGAGCGCAGGCGGUUAGAAAAGUCUGAAGUGAAAGGCAGUGGCUCAACCAUUGUAGGCUUUGGAAACUGUUUAACUUGAGUGCAGAAGGGGAGAGUGGAAUUCCAUGUGUAGCGGUGAAAUGCGUAGAUAUAUGGAGGAACACCAGUGGCGAAGGCGACUCUCUGGUCUGUAACUGACGCUGAGGCUCGAAAGCGUGGGUAGCAAACAGG
Molecule: ribosomal RNA, 429 nt
Filed under: Bacteroidota bacterium
Lineage: Bacteria; Pseudomonadati; Bacteroidota
Description: Bacteroidetes bacterium partial 16S ribosomal RNA
Rfam family: Bacterial small subunit ribosomal RNA
Source: RNAcentral